GAUGAACGCUGGCGGCGUGCCUAAUACAUGCAAGUCGAGCGAACAGACGAGGAGCUUGCUCCUCUGACGUUAGCGGCGGACGGGUGAGUAACACGUGGAUAACCUACCUAUAAGACUGGGAUAACUUCGGGAAACCGGAGCUAAUACCGGAUAAUAUAUUGAACCGCAUGGUUCAAUAGUGAAAGACGGUUUUGCUGUCACUUAUAGAUGGAUCCGCGCCGCAUUAGCUAGUUGGUAAGGUAACGGCUUACCAAGGCAACGAUGUGUAGCCGACCUGAGAGGGUGAUCGGCCACACUGGAACUGAGACACGGUCCAGACGCCUACGGGAGGCAGCAGUAGGGAAUCUUCCGCAAUGGGCGAAAGCCUGACGGAGCAACGCCGCGUGAGUGAUGAAGGUCUUCGGAUCGUAAAACGCUGUUAUUAGGGAAGAACAAAUGUGUAAGUAACUAUGCACGUCUGGACGGUACCUAAGCAGAAAGCCACGGCUAACUACGU
This 496-nucleotide ribosomal RNA is filed under the name uncultured bacterium. RNAcentral describes it as "partial 16S ribosomal RNA". It matches the Rfam family "Bacterial small subunit ribosomal RNA", at positions 28 to 506 of the family's 1533-position model. The record is from RNAcentral.